Molecule: ribosomal RNA, 497 nt
Filed under: uncultured bacterium
Lineage: Bacteria
Description: partial 16S ribosomal RNA
Rfam family: Bacterial small subunit ribosomal RNA
Source: RNAcentral
GAUGAACGCUGGCGGCGUGCCUAAUACAUGCAAGUCGAGCGAACGGACGAGAAGCUUGCUUCUCUGAUGUUAGCGGCGGACGGGUGAGUAACACGUGGAUAACCUACCUAUAAGACUGGGAUAACUUCGGGAAACCGGAGCUAAUACCGGAUGAUAUUUUGAACCGCAUGGUUCAAAAGUGAAAGACGGUCUUGCUGUCACUUAUAGAUGGAUCCGCGCUGCAUUAGAUAGUCGGUAAGGUAACGGCUUACCAAGGCAGCUAUGUAUAGCCGACCUGAGAGGCUGAUCCGCCAGACUGGAACUGAGACACGGUACAGACUCCUACAUGAGGCAGCAGUAUGUAAUCAUCCGGAAUGGGCGCAAGCCUGACAGAGCAACGCCGCGUGAGUAAAGAAGGUAUUCGGAUCGUAGUACUCUGUUAUUAGGGAAGACCAUAUGUGUAAGUAACUGUGCACAGCUUAACGGUACCUAAUUAGAAAGCCACGGCGAACUACGUG